RNAcentral lists this ribosomal RNA (1065 nucleotides) under Triticum aestivum (bread wheat). RNAcentral's name for it is "partial small subunit ribosomal RNA". The record is from RNAcentral. Lineage: Eukaryota; Viridiplantae; Streptophyta; Magnoliopsida; Poales; Poaceae.
AUGCUGGUUCGGGCGCCCUACCAAGCGCCGGAGAAGAAGGCCAAGAAGAAGGCCAAGGAGACCAGAAGUGGCCUCCGCCGUAAGGGCACUUCGGACGUGACGUCCGAAGACACCGAGACCCACUCCUCCCCCACCGAGGACUACGAGGAGGAGGAGGAAAGCAACUCUCCCCCGGAAGGGGGGAGGAAGAAAAGGGCGGCCUCCACGCAUCUGGAGGCAGAGGCAUCCAAGAAGGGGAAGGUCUCCCUCGCGGACAACUCCGCGUGGGACAUUGAUAGCAGCUCUGAGUGGCGCCCCAGGGAUAAGCCCCUGGCCGAAUUUCCGGCUCGUUCCGACCUCCAGCGAUCCUCAUCUUCGGGGAAUUCGCUGGAUCCGAAGGUGAUGGACAGCGGGUCCCUUCCGGCGGACUUCUCUCCCCAGGCCAUGGACGACGCCGAGUUGCUGUCCCGAAGGACCUCCCCGGGCCAGGGAGAAACGCAGGAGGCCGUCAGGGUGGUGCUAGAAGGUGAUACCUUGGCCGCCGGACACAUGGGGGAGAAAAUCCCCCUGGAGACUGGCGAUGGGGGCCAUAUCCAAUUCGGCCCCCAGCCGAAAACAAUUCCGGAGACCUAUACGGCUCCGGAAUCAGGCAAGGAGCCUCCUUCAAAAGAAGGAGGUGCACCGACUCCACCGGUGACCUCUGUCCAUCCAGAGGCACCGGAUACUCUACUGGAAGCGCUGCAAAGCGCUUCCAUUGUUGAGGAACACCGUAUCCUUAUGGGUACGGUGGUUGAGAGAGUUCGGUCCGUUAAGAGCGGACUGACCGAAGCUUGCACCAGCCUUCUAACAGGCUUUGAGGUGUCGUUGCUGGCUGCGACCUCCCAUUAUGCCGAAUUCUCCGGACUGAAGCAGAGUCUGGAGCGGACCGAGGAAGAGCUCGGCCGUGUGAAAAAACAGCUGGAGGACAAGCAAGGUGCUGCGGCCGAGGUGGAGUCCCUCAAAAACGCGCUGGCCGAGGCCCAGAAGAGAGCGGCGAAGGAACAAGCCGCCCGUGAAAAACAUGAGGCAAGGGUCGGGGAGGUCUAG